UAGGACAUCUCUAGUAACUUGUAGGAGACCACCUGACUGAAACAUGCAGCUGGAGAUACAAUGAGAGUUAAUAGAAUCUGUAAGACGAUGCAGGCAAGCUUAUGUGAAAUUUUCAUUUCAAGCAACAGCUCAAAAAAUGGAGGAGCCAAGCUCUCUACAGAUUGUUCAGGAAGCAGUCAAGUCAUGUUGUGAAUACAGUACUAAACCCAGAGUGCAUCUCAGGCAAGGCUCCUUCCAUGGGUACUACUUCAUGAUGACUAUAGGUGGCAAGGAUACAUUCUACAUUUCAACGUUCUAAAAGAAAAAAAAUUAAAUGUGUUCAUUACAAAAGAAUGAUAAAUUUUGAAGGGCUGGUGUGGAAGAUCAGCUAGUAAAGUACUUGCUGAGCCAGCACAAUGACCCAAGGUCAAUGGAACUUGCAUGUAAAGGUAGAAGGAGAGAACCAACUCCAAAGAGUUAUGCUUUUAACUCCCCAUAACUGUGCUACAGGAAAUGUG
This 497-nucleotide long non-coding RNA is filed under the name Mus spicilegus (steppe mouse). RNAcentral's name for it is "lncRNA (ENSMSIG00000002914.1)". Lineage: Eukaryota; Metazoa; Chordata; Mammalia; Rodentia; Muridae. The record is from RNAcentral.